GACGAACGCUGGCGGCGUGCUUAACACAUGCAAGUCGUACGGUAAGGCCCUUUCGGGGGUACACGAGUGGCGAACGGGUGAGUAACACGUGAGUAACCUGCCCACAACUUUGGGAUAACGCUAGGAAACUGGUGCUAAUACUGGAUAUGUGCUCCUGCUGCAUGGUGGGGGUUGGAAAGCUCCGGCGGUUGUGGAUGGACUCGCGGCCUAUCAGCUUGUUGGUGGGGUAGUGGCCUACCAAGGCGGCGACGGGUAGCCGGCCUGAGAGGGUGACCGGCCACAUUGGGACUGAGAUACGGCCCAGACUCCUACGGGAGGCAGCAGUGGGGAAUAUUGCACAAUGGGCGCAAGCCGGAUGCAGCAACGCCGCGUGCGGGAUGACGGCCUUCGGGUUGGAAACCGCUUUCAGCAGGGACGAAGCUUUUUGUGACGGUACCUGCAGAAGAAGCACCGGCUAACUACGUG
This 465-nucleotide ribosomal RNA is filed under the name uncultured bacterium. RNAcentral's name for it is "partial 16S ribosomal RNA". It matches the Rfam family "Bacterial small subunit ribosomal RNA", at positions 28 to 507 of the family's 1533-position model. The record is from RNAcentral.